AUUGAACGCUGGCGGCAGGCCUAACACAUGCAAGUCGAACGAGUGGGGACGGGUGAGUAACACGUGGGUAACCUCCCAUCAGAGGGGAUAACACUUGGAAACAGGUGCUAAACCGAUACUGAUGGAUGGACCCGCGGUGCAUUAGCUAUUUGGUGAGGUAACGGCUCACCAAGGCCACGAUGCAUAGCAGGCCUGAGGGGUUGUUCGGCAAAACUGGGACUGAGACACGGCCCAGACUCCAACGGGAGGCAGCAGUAGGGAAUCUUCGGCAAUGGACGAAAGUCUGACCGAGCAACGCCGCGUGAGUGAAGAAGGUUUUCGGAUCGUAAAACUCUGUUGUUAGAGAAGCGGUAUCUAACCAGAAAGCCACGGCUAACUACGUGCCAGCCGCCGCGGUAAUUC
Molecule: ribosomal RNA, 402 nt
Filed under: uncultured bacterium
Lineage: Bacteria
Description: partial 16S ribosomal RNA
Rfam family: Bacterial small subunit ribosomal RNA
Source: RNAcentral